AACGAACGCUGGCGGCAGGCUUAACACAUGCAAGUCGAACGCCCGUAGCAAUACGGGAGUGGCAGACGGGUGAGUAACACGUGGGAACAUACCCUUCGGUACGGAACAACUCGGGGAAACGCGAGCUAAUACCGUAUACGCCUUGGCGGGGAAAGAUUUUUUCGCCGAAGGAUUGGCCCGCGUCCGAUUAGCUAGUUGGUGGGGUAACGGCUCACCAAGGCGACGAUCGGUAGCUGGUCUGAGAGGAUGGCCAGCCACAUUGGGACUGAGACACGGC
This 277-nucleotide ribosomal RNA is filed under the name uncultured bacterium. RNAcentral's name for it is "partial 16S ribosomal RNA". It matches the Rfam family "Bacterial small subunit ribosomal RNA", at positions 29 to 330 of the family's 1533-position model. The record is from RNAcentral.